GCAGUCGAGCGGACAGAAGGGAGCUUGCUCCCGGAUGUUAGCGGCGGACGGGUGAGUAACACGUGGGUAACCUGCCUGUAAGACUGGGAUAACUCCGGGAAACCGGAGCUAAUACCGGAUAGUUCCUUGAACCGCAUGGUUCAAGGAUGAAAGACGGUUUCGGCUGUCACUUACAGAUGGACCCGCGGCGCAUUAGCUAGUUGGUGAGGUAACGGCUCACCAAGGCGACGAUGCGUAGCCGACCUGAGAGGGUGAUCGGCCACACUGGGACUGAGACACGGCCCAGACUCCUACGGGAGGCAGCAGUAGGGAAUCUUCCGCAAUGGACGAAAGUCUGACGGAGCAACGCCGCGUGAGUGAUGAAGGUUUUCGGAUCGUAAAGCUCUGUUGUUAGGGAAGAACAAGUGCAAGAGUAACUGCUUGCACCUUGACGGUACCUAACCAGAAAGCCACGGCUAACUACGUGCCAGCAGCCGCGGUAAUACGUAGGUGGCAAGCGUUGUCCGGAAUUAUUGGGCGUAAAGGGCUCGCAGGCGGUUUCUUAAGUCUGAUGUGAAAGCCCCCGGCUCAACCGGGGAGGGUCAUUGGAAACUGGGAAACUUGAGUGCAGAAGAGGAGAGUGGAAUUCCACGUGUAGCGGUGAAAUGCGUAGAGAUGUGGAGGAACACCAGUGGCGAAGGCGACUCUCUGGUCUGUAACUGACGCUGAGGAGCGAAAGCGUGGGGAGCGAACAGGAUUAGAUACCCUGGUAGUCCACGCCGUAAACGAUGAGUGCUAAGUGUUAGGGGG
This 789-nucleotide ribosomal RNA is filed under the name Bacillus sp. (in: firmicutes). Its description in RNAcentral is "bacterial SSU rRNA". It matches the Rfam family "Bacterial small subunit ribosomal RNA", at positions 57 to 830 of the family's 1533-position model. Lineage: Bacteria; Bacillati; Bacillota; Bacilli; Caryophanales; Bacillaceae. The record is from RNAcentral.